UACGUAGGCAGCGAGCGUUGUUCGGAGUUACUGGGCGUAAAGGGUGUGUAGGCGGUUUUCUAAGUUUGGUGUGAAAUCUCCCGGCUCAACCCGGGAGGGUGCGCCGAAAACUGGGAGACUAGAGUUGCGGGAUGGGGAGAGUAGAAUUCCUGGUGUAGCGGUGAAAUGCGUAGAUAUCAGGAGGAAUACCGGUGGUGUAGACGGCUCUCUGGACCGCCACUGACGCUGAGACACGAAAGCGUGGGUAGCAACAGGAUUAG
Molecule: ribosomal RNA, 260 nt
Filed under: uncultured bacterium
Lineage: Bacteria
Description: partial 16S ribosomal RNA
Rfam family: Bacterial small subunit ribosomal RNA
Source: RNAcentral